CUAACACAUUAUUUUAUCUACUUGAUUCUUCUAAAAUAGCAAGGGAAGCUGUUUACAGCUGCUUCAAAAGCCGAAGGUGCUGAGAUGAAAAAAUAUAAGACGGAGAUGCAGAAGUGGGAAAUGGCGAAAUAUACUCUAAAAUCCAUUGUAGGUGAAAUUGACAAAAAAGUGGUUGAAUUGGGAUCAAUUGGAGCUUAGGACAUUUGGUCACAAGGUUUGCAGAAAAAGGGGUUACAUAUUGCACAACGUCAAACCCCAUGGAAAGAACUAUUGUAUGGACUACGGUAGUUCCUAAAGAAACUUAUGUGAUUUCUGAAGAUGCCUUGGAGACAAAGCACAAGAGAACUAGGAAGCAAAUGAGGAAAAACAAUAUGGACAAAAGAAGAAAAAAGAAACGGAGAAAAAAAGAAUAUGUGCGGAAAAAAAAAGAAAGAGAAAAAAGCAAUA
Non-coding RNA from Sesamum indicum (sesame), 447 nucleotides. The record is from RefSeq and is a predicted model, not a curated record. Lineage: Eukaryota; Viridiplantae; Streptophyta; Magnoliopsida; Lamiales; Pedaliaceae.